Molecule: long non-coding RNA, 221 nt
Filed under: Pan troglodytes (chimpanzee)
Lineage: Eukaryota; Metazoa; Chordata; Mammalia; Primates; Hominidae
Description: long non-coding RNA NONPTRT013747
Source: RNAcentral
CAGGCGGAAGCAGUGGCUGCCAUGGAGGAGGACAAGCUCUUAUCUGCAGUGCCUGAGGAAGGCGAUGCCACCCGUGACCCCGGUAUGUUCGUGUUAUGUAGGGAUAAGUGUCUCUAAGUCUCCGUGGGCAGGAGUGUGAGUAUGUGGGGUUACGUGUCUGUGGCACUGGGUGUGCCAUGGCCCUAAGAGUGUUUCCAUCCAGGCAGGGCCUAGGGCAGCCC